Molecule: ribosomal RNA, 253 nt
Filed under: uncultured bacterium
Lineage: Bacteria
Description: partial 16S ribosomal RNA
Rfam family: Bacterial small subunit ribosomal RNA
Source: RNAcentral
UACGGAGGGAGCUAGCGUUGUUCGGAAUUACUGGGCGUAAAGCGCACGUAGGCGGAUUGUUAAGUCGGGGGUGAAAUCCUGGAGCUCAACUCCAGAACUGCCUUCGAAACUGGCGAUCUUGAGUCCGGGAGAGGUGAGUGGAACUGCGAGUGUAGAGGUGAAAUUCGUAGAUAUUGGGAAGAACACCGGUGGCGAAGGCGGCUCACUGGCCCGUAACUGACGCUCAUGCACGACAGCGUGGGGAUCAAACAGG